GAUGAAGAACGCAGCGAAAUGUGAUAAGUAAUGCGAAUUGCAGAAUUCAGUGAAUCAUCGAAUCUUUGAACGCACAUUGCGCCCGCCAGUAUUCUGGCGAGCAUGCCUGUUCGAGCGUCAUUUCAACCAUCAAGCCCCAGGCUUGUGUUGGAGCCCUGCGGCUGCCGCAGCCUCCCAAAACCAGUGGCGGGCUCGCUAUCACACCGAGUGCAGUAGUUUACUCUUCGCUCAGGGCGUGUGGCGGGUGCUAGCCGUGAAACCCCCAACUUCUCAAGGUUGACCUCGGAUCAGGCAGGAAUACCCGCUGAACUUAAGCAUAUCAAUAAGCGGAGGA
Molecule: unclassified non-coding RNA, 334 nt
Filed under: soil metagenome
Description: partial contains 5.8S ribosomal RNA, internal transcribed spacer 2, and large subunit ribosomal RNA
Rfam family: 5.8S ribosomal RNA (bases 1-120)
Source: RNAcentral